AUUGUUUUAGCAAAUUAAGUGCAUUAAAUUUAGAAUUUAAAAAUGUAAAUUUUAAUUUUACAAACAAUA
This 69-nucleotide transfer RNA is filed under the name Diceroprocta semicincta. RNAcentral's name for it is "tRNA-Leu". It matches the Rfam family "tRNA". From Rfam's summary of the family: Transfer RNA (tRNA) molecules are approximately 80 nucleotides in length. Their secondary structure includes four short double-helical elements and three loops (D, anti-codon, and T loops). Lineage: Eukaryota; Metazoa; Arthropoda; Insecta; Hemiptera; Cicadidae. The record is from RNAcentral.